This is a long non-coding RNA of Ipomoea nil (Japanese morning glory), 98 nucleotides long. RefSeq lists it as uncharacterized. NCBI's taxonomy places the organism in Eukaryota, Viridiplantae, Streptophyta, Magnoliopsida, Solanales, Convolvulaceae. The record is from RefSeq and is a predicted model, not a curated record. The transcript has 3 exons.
AUUUCCAGUGACUGGAUUCAUUUGCCCACUACUGCAAAAAUCCUACAAUCUAGUACAUGACCUUUUUUCAGGAUCUUAUAUGUUUCAACCCCUUUGUA